GGUGUAUGUGGCCUGUAGCUACUGGAAUGUUUUGAAUUUAUUAGCGAUCUAUGGGACGGAGGACAAUUCUAAACAUUCCAGUCCCUAUAGACCAGUGACCACAUACAAACGAAGGAAUCUCAUAAAUACUUUUAGAUCAGUCACUAUUUACAUACUACAAUGAUUCCUCUCAAUAUCCCAGAUGAAACAGAGGAAUCACUUCCUCUCAAUUGAGGAAUUGAGAGGAAUUCCUCAAUUGUUAAACACAGAAACGUGUUUCUGUCCUGUGUG
Molecule: long non-coding RNA, 270 nt
Organism: Xiphophorus couchianus (Monterrey platyfish)
Lineage: Eukaryota; Metazoa; Chordata; Actinopteri; Cyprinodontiformes; Poeciliidae
Exons: 3
Source: RefSeq, a predicted model, not a curated record